GGAGGAGGAGGCUGCAAACAGGGAUGCGACACAAGGACUUCCCACGAUGUCACCUAGAAAGAAUUCUCUUGCCCAAGUAUGCUUAACUUUGGAGUUCUGAUGCGUUCCGGUAUAUUAGUUCUGGACACAGCUCAAAUCAAAGGCACUCAGAAGCAUAAUUCAAGAUGAGGGAAUGGCAGAGGUCAACACAAAAGAAGACAGCAAACACGAGACACCAACAAUAAGCAUAAUUCAGGAUGAGGGAAUAACAAAAAUGUUUUGGCGGUACUAUUAGAGAUCAAAUGGGUAACUACAAGUUCACCUAUUCGGGGCCAUGUGGACAUACAACAGUGAACGAAACUAAGGCAAAAGCUUUCUCGGAAGGUUUAAAAAUAAUAAAGAAUCUUGAAGGCCAAAAGAUGAUUGAAGAUGAUUCAAGCAAUAUCAUUGCUUGGGCAAAAGGAGAAAUGAAACCAUCUUGGAGAUUAUGCAGGAUUUUUGACGAAAUUUUUUUUUUCAUUUUAAGUUAUCUUAUUGUUUUAGAGAAGCUAAUAUGGAAG
Molecule: non-coding RNA, 539 nt
Organism: Amborella trichopoda
Lineage: Eukaryota; Viridiplantae; Streptophyta; Magnoliopsida; Amborellales; Amborellaceae
Source: RefSeq, a predicted model, not a curated record